This 562-nucleotide ribosomal RNA is filed under the name uncultured bacterium. RNAcentral's name for it is "bacterial SSU rRNA". It matches the Rfam family "Bacterial small subunit ribosomal RNA", at positions 363 to 917 of the family's 1533-position model. The record is from RNAcentral.
UUUUNACAAUGGGCGAAAGCCUGNUGGAGCGACGCCGCGUGGGGGAUGAAUGGCUUCGGCCCGUAAACCCCUGUCAUUCGGGAUCAAUGCCUGCUAUUUAAAAGAUGGUAGGUUGAUAGUACCGGAAGAGGAAGGGACGGCUAACUCUGUGCCAGCAGCCGCGGUAAUACAGAGGUCCCAAGCGUUGUUCGGAUUUACUGGGCGUAAAGGGUGCGUAGGUGGUUGGGUAAGUCUGAUGUGAAAUCUCGGAGCUUAACUCCGAAACGGCAUUGGAUACUAUUCAGCUUGAGAGUUGGAGGGGGGACUGGAAUUCUCGGUGUAGCAGUGAAAUGCGUAGAUAUCGAGAGGAACACCAGUGGCGAAGGCGAGUCCCUGGACAACUUCUGACACUGAGGCACGAAAGCCAGGGGAGCAAACGGGAUUAGAUACCCCGGUAGUCCUGGCCCUAAACGGUGCACGUUUGCUGUAAAAGGAAUCGACCCCUUUUGUGGCGUAGCCAACGCGUUAAACGUGCCGCCUGGGAAGUACGGUCGCAAGAUUAAAACUCAAAGAAAUUGACGGA